This is a long non-coding RNA of Olea europaea var. sylvestris, 1007 nucleotides long. RefSeq lists it as uncharacterized. The transcript has 3 exons. Lineage: Eukaryota; Viridiplantae; Streptophyta; Magnoliopsida; Lamiales; Oleaceae. The record is from RefSeq and is a predicted model, not a curated record.
UACUGCAGUCCUUUGUGCUUGAAGGAUAUGAUCAUCUCAGAAUAUUUACUCAUUUGCAAUUUGAUUUUUUUUUUCAUAUUUUUAAACGGUGGUGGAAUUGCAUUUGGGAAGUUUCUAAUACAGUAUAGUUUUAAGAUUUUCAUUCCUAGGGAUUGAUUUUUACUGGGCUUUUUAUUAUUCACCUGAAUUAAACUCUAUUGGCAUAUGAGUGUGUGCAUUAUUCGAAUAUAUAUGAUUGUUCUGUACUAUUAUUGGCAUAUGAUUCUGGUUUUUUGUGCAUGGAGAUACAUUCUUUUGAAGAAAAUUAGGUUACUAAUGUAGGAGAUCACACAGGAAAUAUCUGUAUUUUCUUGAAAUAAUUAUUAGUUCUCAAGUCAAGAAAUUUUCCUUGUGGUUAUUUAAUUUAUUUGGUAAGUUUAGUAUAUAGAUGUUAAUUUGUUUGAUGUUGAAACCAAGUGAAAUUUCUUUCCCAAAUUUCGCAAUCCUAUUCUCUUUUCUUUCUUUUCCUGCUGAAGCUUGAGCAUUUGUUGCCUGAGAGUUGGACAAAUAUCUGAAAUCGAUGUUUGCCUUUUUUAAUUUGAACACAAUUAAAGUCAUAUAUAUGAUCUAACAUUUUUGAAAACUUUUUAUCUAAGAUUUCACUUGGUAGAACAAUGCCAGUGUUUGAAAAUCGGUUGCUGAUGUUAAGAGAUUGACCGUCAAAUUUAGGACCUAUAGCUAGCACAAAAUCUUCAUCAAGGGCAAUCUUUCGACUUACUUCAUGUGUCCGGAAGACAACGGAGAAUGCAUUCAGCUCCAUCCACCGCAAGAGUAUUUCUUCGCUCCUUUGAUACUUAAAAAAUGCCACUGCUGCAGAAACAAAGGAUCGUCCUGGGACGGUCGACCACAUGGAUCUUGAAGGCUGAGACUUAUGGAAAAUACAGAGAGACCCGCCAUUUUUGGAUGACCAAUUCGACUGAAAAUCCUUUCCAAUGUCAUAGAUCUGUUCUGAAGGGACUGACUGAAAA